GCCAGACUCCUACGGGAGGCAGCAGUGGGGGAUAUUGCACAAUGGGGGGAACCCUGAUGCAGCGACGCCGCGUGGGUGAAGAAGCGCCUCGGCGCGUAAAGCCCUGUCAGCAGGGAAGAAAAUGACGGUACCUGAAGAAGAAGCCCCGGCUAACUACGUGCCAGCAGCCGCGGUAAUACGUAGGGGGCAAGCGUUAUCCGGAUUCACUGGGUGUAAAGGGAGCGUAGACGGCGACGCAAGUCUGGAGUGAAAGCCCGGGGCCCAACCCCGGGACUGCUCUGGAAACUGCGUCGCUGGAGUGCGGGAGGGGCAGGCGGAAUUCCUGGUGUAGCGGUGAAAUGCGUAGAUAUCAGGAGGAACACCGGCGGCGAAGGCGGCCUGCUGGACCGUGACUGACGUUGAGGCUCGAGAGCGUGGGGAGCAAACAGGAUUAGAUACCCCAGUA
This 445-nucleotide ribosomal RNA is filed under the name uncultured bacterium. Its description in RNAcentral is "bacterial SSU rRNA". It matches the Rfam family "Bacterial small subunit ribosomal RNA", at positions 330 to 792 of the family's 1533-position model. The record is from RNAcentral.